GAGAUAGCUGGUUCUCUCCGAAAUAGCUUUAGGGCUAGCCUCAAGUGAUGAUUAUUGGAGGUAGAGCACUGUUUGGACGAGGGGCCCCUCUCGGGUUACCGAAUUCAGACAAACUCCGAAUGCCAAUUAAUUUAACUUGGGAGUCAGAACAUGGGUGAUAAGGUCCGUGUUCGAAAGGGAAACAGCCCAGACCACCAGCUAAGGUCCCAAAAUAUAUGUUAAGUGGAAAAGGAUGUGGCGUUGCCCAGACAACUAGGAUGUUGGCUUAGAAGCAGCCAUCAUUUAAAGAGUGCGUAAUAGCUCACUAGUCGAGUGACACUGCGCCGAAAAUGUACCGGGGCUAAACAUAUUACCGAAGCUGUGGAUUGUCCUUUGGACAAUGGUAGGAGAGCGUUCUAAGGGCGUUGAAGCAUGAUCGUAAGGACAUGUGGAGCGCUUAGAAGUGAGAAUGCCGGUGUGAGUAGCGAAAGACGGGUGAGAAUCCCGUCCACCGAUUGACUAAGGUUUCCAGAGGAAGGCUCGUCCGCUCUGGGUUAGUCGGGUCCUAAGCUGAGGCCGACAGGCGUAGGCGAUGGAUAACAGGUUGAUAUUCCUGUACCACCUAUAAUCGUUUUAAUCGAUGGGGGGACGCAGUAGGAUAGGCGAAGCGUGCGAUUGGAUUGCACGUCUAAGCAGUAAGGCUGAGUAUUAGGCAAAUCCGGUACUCGUUAAGGCUGA
RNAcentral lists this ribosomal RNA (717 nucleotides) under Staphylococcus aureus. RNAcentral describes it as "partial 23S ribosomal RNA". It matches the Rfam family "Bacterial large subunit ribosomal RNA", at positions 842 to 1559 of the family's 2925-position model. The record is from RNAcentral. Lineage: Bacteria; Bacillati; Bacillota; Bacilli; Caryophanales; Staphylococcaceae.